AGUGAACGCUGGCGGUAGGCCUAACACAUGCAAGUCGAACGGCAGCACAGUAAGAGCUUGCUCUUACGGGUGGCGAGUGGCGGACGGGUGAGGAAUACAUCGGAAUCUACUUUUUCGUGGGGGAUAACGUAGGGAAACUUACGCUAAUACCGCAUACGACCUACGGGUGAAAGCAGGGGAUCUUCGGACCUUGCGCGAUUGAAUGAGCCGAUGUCGGAUUAGCUAGUUGGCGGGGUAAAGGCCCACCAAGGCGACGCUCCGUAGCUGGUCUGAGAGGAUGAUCAGCCACACUGGAACUGAGACACGGUCCAGACUCCUACGGGAGGCAGCAGUGGGGAAUAUUGGACAAUGGGCGCAAGCCUGAUCCAGCCAUACCGCGUGGGUGAAGAAAGCCUUCGGGUUGUAAAGCCCUUUUGUUGGGAAAGAAAAGCAGCAGGUUAAUACCCCGCUGUUCUGACGGUACCCAAAGAAUAAGCACCGGCUAACUUCGUG
RNAcentral lists this ribosomal RNA (492 nucleotides) under uncultured bacterium. RNAcentral's name for it is "partial 16S ribosomal RNA". It matches the Rfam family "Bacterial small subunit ribosomal RNA", at positions 29 to 507 of the family's 1533-position model. The record is from RNAcentral.